RNAcentral lists this ribosomal RNA (1127 nucleotides) under Latilactobacillus sakei. RNAcentral describes it as "bacterial SSU rRNA". It matches the Rfam family "Bacterial small subunit ribosomal RNA", at positions 341 to 1461 of the family's 1533-position model. The record is from RNAcentral. Lineage: Bacteria; Bacillati; Bacillota; Bacilli; Lactobacillales; Lactobacillaceae.
ACGGGAGGCAGCAGUAGGGAAUCUUCCACAAUGGACGAAAGUCUGAUGGAGCAACGCCGCGUGAGGAAGAAGGUUUUCGGAUCGUAAAACUCUGUUGUUGAGAAGAAUGUAUCUGAUAGUAACUGAUCAGGUAGUGACGGUAUCCAACCAGAAAGCCACGGCUAACUACGUGCCAGCAGCCGCGGUAAUACGUAGGUGGCAAGCGUUGUCCGGAUUUAUUGGGCGUAAAGCGAGCGCAGGCGGUUUCUUAAGUCUGAUGUGAAAGCCUUCGGCUCAACCGAAGAAGUGCAUCGGAAACUGGGAAACUUGAGUGCAGAAGAGGACAGUGGAACUCCAUGUGUAGCGGUGAAAUGCGUAGAUAUAUGGAAGAACACCAGUGGCGAAGGCGGCUGUCUGGUCUGUAACUGACGCUGAGGCUCGAAAGCAUGGGUAGCAAACAGGAUUAGAUACCCUGGUAGUCCAUGCCGUAAACGAUGAGUGCUAGGUGUUGGAGGGUUUCCGCCCUUCAGUGCCGCAGCUAACGCAUUAAGCACUCCGCCUGGGGAGUACGACCGCAAGGUUGAAACUCAAAGGAAUUGACGGGGGCCCGCACAAGCGGUGGAGCAUGUGGUUUAAUUCGAAGCAACGCGAAGAACCUUACCAGGUCUUGACAUCCUUUGACCACUCUAGAGAUAGAGCUUUCCCUUCGGGGACAAAGUGACAGGUGGUGCAUGGUUGUCGUCAGCUCGUGUCGUGAGAUGUUGGGUUAAGUCCCGCAACGAGCGCAACCCUUAUUACUAGUUGCCAGCAUUUAGUUGGGCACUCUAGUGAGACUGCCGGUGACAAACCGGAGGAAGGUGGGGACGACGUCAAAUCAUCAUGCCCCUUAUGACCUGGGCUACACACGUGCUACAAUGGAUGGUACAACGAGUUGCGAGACCGCGAGGUUUAGCUAAUCUCUUAAAACCAUUCUCAGUUCGGAUUGUAGGCUGCAACUCGCCUACAUGAAGCCGGAAUCGCUAGUAAUCGCGGAUCAGCAUGCCGCGGUGAAUACGUUCCCGGGCCUUGUACACACCGCCCGUCACACCAUGAGAGUUUGUAACACCCAAAGCCGGUGAGGUAACCCUUCGGGGAGCCAGCCGUCUAAG